RNAcentral lists this ribosomal RNA (688 nucleotides) under bacterium EJ10-B11-5. RNAcentral's name for it is "bacterial SSU rRNA". It matches the Rfam family "Bacterial small subunit ribosomal RNA", at positions 57 to 787 of the family's 1533-position model. The record is from RNAcentral.
GCAGUCGACGCAGUUUUUACUUGAGUGGCGGACGGGUGAGUAACACGNNNCCUNNAAANNNUUAGGCGGGGAAUAACUAUGGGAAACCAUAGCUAAUGCCCCAUAUGCUCGUAAGAGUGAAAGGAGCAAUCCACCCAAAGAGAAGCUCGCGGCUGAUUAGCUAGUUGGUAAGGUAAUGGCUUACCAAGGCGACGAUCAGUAGCUGGUUUGAGAGAACGAUCAGCCACACUGGAACUGAGACACGGUCCAGACUCCUACGGGAGGCAGCAGUGGGGAAUUUUCCGCAAUGGGCGCAAGCCUGACGGAGCAAUACCGCGUGAGGGAUGACGGCCUUUGGGUUGUAAACCUCUUUUAUCAAGGAGGAAGUUCUGACGUGUACUUGAUGAAUAAGCAUCGGCUAACUCCGUGCCAGCAGCCGCGGUAAGACGGAGGAUGCAAGUGUUAUCCGGAAUCACUGGGCGUAAAGCGUCUGUAGGUGGUUUAAAAAGUCUACUGUUAAAAAUUGAAGCUUAACUUCAAAGAUGCCGUAGAAACUUUUAAACUUGAGGAUGGUAGGGGUAGAGGGAAUUUCCAGUGGAGCGGUGAAAUGCGUAGAUCUUGGAAAGACCACCAAUGGCGAAGGCACUCUACUGGGCCAUGACUGACACUAAGAGACGAAAGCUAGGGGAGCAAAUGGGAUUAGAUACCC